GGCCGGAUGGUGUAGUUGGUUAUCACGGUUCGCUUCCUACGCUUUCAUGAUUAAGACUUUUCUAAUCUGCGGCAAGUGUCCUUAACAGUUUCUCGCUAAGAACGGACAAGGUCCUGAGUUCGAGCCUCAGUCUGGUCA
Molecule: non-coding RNA, 138 nt
Organism: Lepraria neglecta
Lineage: Eukaryota; Fungi; Ascomycota; Lecanoromycetes; Lecanorales; Stereocaulaceae
Source: the annotation of a GenBank genome assembly